Molecule: ribosomal RNA, 645 nt
Filed under: uncultured bacterium
Lineage: Bacteria
Description: bacterial SSU rRNA
Rfam family: Bacterial small subunit ribosomal RNA
Source: RNAcentral
GUAACACGUAUGCAACCUACCCUUUACUGGGGCAUAGCUCAGAGAAAUCUGAAUUAAUUCCCCAUAAUACAAUUGAAUGGCAUCAUUUGAUUAUUAAAGUUGAGGCGGUAAAGGAUGGGCAUGCGUUGCAUUAGCUAGUUGGUGAGGUAAUGGCUCACCAAGGCUACGAUGCAUAGGGGUUCUGAGAGGAUGAUCCCCCACACUGGUACUGAGACACGGACCAGACUCCUACGGGAGGCAGCAGUAGGGAAUAUUGGUCAAUGGACGCAAGUCUGAACCAGCCAUGCCGCGUGCAGGAAGACGGCCCUCUGGGUUGUAAACUGCUUUUAUAUGGGAAGAAACCUCAUUAUGCGUAAUGAACUGACGGUACCAUAUGAAUAAGGAUCGGCUAACUUCGUGCCAGCAGCCGCGGUAAGACGAAGGAUCCAAGCGUUGUCCGGAUUUACUGGGCUUAAAGGGUGCGUAGGCGGAAUUUUAAGUCAGUGGUGAAAGCCCUUCGCUCAACGAAGGAACUGCCAUUGAAACUGAAAUUCUUGAAUACGGUUGAGGUAGAUGGAAUAUAACAUGUAGCGGUGAAAUGCUUAGAUAUGUUAUAGAACACCGAUUGCGAAGGCAGUCUACUAAGCCGUGAUUGACGCUGAGGCA